This 589-nucleotide ribosomal RNA is filed under the name Salmonella enterica subsp. enterica serovar Saintpaul. Its description in RNAcentral is "partial 23S ribosomal RNA". It matches the Rfam family "Bacterial large subunit ribosomal RNA", at positions 59 to 688 of the family's 2925-position model. The record is from RNAcentral. Lineage: Bacteria; Pseudomonadati; Pseudomonadota; Gammaproteobacteria; Enterobacterales; Enterobacteriaceae.
UGCUAAUCUGCGAUAAGCGCCGGUAAGGUGAUAUGAACCGUUAUAACCGGCGAUACCCGAAUGGGGAAACCCAGUGUGAUUCGUCACACUAUCAUUAACUGAAUCCAUAGGUUAAUGAGGCGAACCGGGGGAACUGAAACAUCUAAGUACCCCGAGGAAAAGAAAUCAACCGAGAUUCCCCCAGUAGCGGCGAGCGAACGGGGAGGAGCCCAGAGCCUGAAUCAGCAUGUGUGUUAGUGGAAGCGUCUGGAAAGGCGCGCGAUACAGGGUGACAGCCCCGUACACAAAAGCGCAUGUGCUGUGAGCUCGAUGAGUAGGGCGGGACACGUGGUAUCCUGUCUGAAUAUGGGGGGACCAUCCUCCAAGGCUAAAUACUCCUGACUGACCGAUAGUGAACCAGUACCGUGAGGGAAAGGCGAAAAGAACCCCGGCGAGGGGAGUGAAAAAGAACCUGAAACCGUGUACGUACAAGCAGUGGGAGCACAGGUUUACCUGUGUGACUGCGUACCUUUUGUAUAAUGGGUCAGCGACUUAUAUUCUGUAGCAAGGUUAACCGUAUAGGGGAGCCGUAGGGAAACCGAGUCUUAAC